Bradysia coprophila is the source of this 101-nucleotide long non-coding RNA. The record is from RefSeq and is a predicted model, not a curated record. NCBI's taxonomy places the organism in Eukaryota, Metazoa, Arthropoda, Insecta, Diptera, Sciaridae.
AUUUCAUCCAUACCAACGACGCUUAUGUAAUAUUUCAGACACAUCAUGAACAGAUUCACCAUACUAAGGUUGAUUGCAUAAAUUUUCCAAACAUCCGUGAC